RNAcentral lists this ribosomal RNA (765 nucleotides) under Triticum aestivum (bread wheat). RNAcentral's name for it is "partial small subunit ribosomal RNA". The record is from RNAcentral. Lineage: Eukaryota; Viridiplantae; Streptophyta; Magnoliopsida; Poales; Poaceae.
AUGCAUGCAACCAAACACGCCCUUUGUGUUUUUUAUGUGGUCAGGAGAGGUAUGCUGACCAUUUUUUUUAUGUGCCUCUUUGAUAUGGCUAUCUACAAUGUGAUUAAGGAGCAGUUUGGUAUUCACUUGCAACGGAAAUAUUUUCGUAAUGAUAAGCAAAGGUUGUUUGACCUUCUUAACCAUAGCAAUGUGGUGCAAAGUGUGGCAGUGAUAUGUUGGCAUAUUUGGGACGCCCGAAAUGAGACGUGGAAUUCGGACUCUAUGGUGAACCCUGAUGUGAUAAUCAAGAAGAUUCAAGCCUGUGUAGAUAUGGUUGCUUUGCAUUGUUUGAAGCCGAAUCAUUCACCAAGGUGUGUAGUUCUGAGGCAAGUUGAGAAACAGACUCCACCGCUUAUUGGCUUGGUUUGCCUGGAUGUUGAUGGACCAAUCUUCACAUCUUCAUUGAGUUCGACGACGAGUGUGGUGAUGCGGGACCAUUUGGGCAGGUGUUUGGUGGGUUGCCGUCAAUCCUUCCAUGUCAGCACAACCUCGAAAAUUACAGAAGCUCUGGCUCUUCAUUGGGUCGUCAUUCUCGUGUUGGAUGAAGAUUGCCUCAGGUUGAUCAAGAAGGCGAGUGCUCCGGAUAGGGAUAGCUUGUUCACAAGUCUUGUUGUUGCUGAUAUCAAACCUUUAGCGAGCAACUUUGUUUCGUUUUCCACUUAUUCAUGUAAGCCAUUGUGCUUUUUAUUUUUAUUUUUUUGCGAGGAAUGUAAGCCAUUGUGCUAA